Molecule: unclassified non-coding RNA, 257 nt
Filed under: Hevea brasiliensis (rubber tree)
Lineage: Eukaryota; Viridiplantae; Streptophyta; Magnoliopsida; Malpighiales; Euphorbiaceae
Source: RNAcentral
CCGGCACCGAUAACAAUUCAACAUAAAUUUUGCCACCAUGUGUCCUCUUCUACCUUGCCAUAUAUAGUCUGAAAACACCUCCGCCACUAUAUAUCGACUUCUACCGAAAUACUUAGCCACUUAUAGUCCGAAAACUCCACCACUAUGUCAACCUCCACCUUAAAAACUCGGCCACAUGGAGCCGAAAAACUUCAUCGCCACUAUCUUCUGUCAUGCUAUAUACAGCUAAAAAACUUAAACUCCACUGCAGCCAUAGG